GGUGACAUAGCUCAGUUGGUAGAGCAUCGGACUGAAAAUCCGUGUGUCCCUGGUUCGAAUCCUGGUGUCACCA
This 73-nucleotide transfer RNA is filed under the name Microscilla marina ATCC 23134. It matches the Rfam family "tRNA". From Rfam's summary of the family: Transfer RNA (tRNA) molecules are approximately 80 nucleotides in length. Their secondary structure includes four short double-helical elements and three loops (D, anti-codon, and T loops). Further hydrogen bonds mediate the characteristic L-shaped molecular structure. tRNAs have two regions of fundamental functional importance: the anti-codon, which is responsible for specific mRNA codon recognition, and the 3' end, to which the tRNAs corresponding amino acid is attached (by aminoacyl-tRNA synthetases). tRNAs cope with the degeneracy of the genetic code in two manners: having more than one tRNA (with a specific anti-codon) for a particular amino acid; and 'wobble' base-pairing, i.e. permitting non-standard base-pairing at the 3rd anti-codon position. Lineage: Bacteria; Pseudomonadati; Bacteroidota; Cytophagia; Cytophagales; Microscillaceae. The record is from Rfam by way of RNAcentral.